ACACGAAAUUGACAGCCAGUGACUGUGACAGUGUCUGAGUAAAGCGAAAGAGACACUGGUUUUUCGUUAUAUUCUGUUGAAAUGGUCUGAUUAAUAGUUAACGCCUGUGAGUACGUGGCCAAGAAGAUUGGCCGCGCUCUGGGCAUCACCAAAGACGAGGCAUCGCCUCAGAAAGCAGCAAGAUGUUCUGGUAAAGCGGGACAGGAGAAGUACCGACCUCUUGAUAACGAGAGCUCAAGUUUCCAGGAAAAUGGAUACUCUGAUGGAGUUACCCACAGAGAGAAGCAGGUGUGCACAAAAUCAACAGGAUGAGGUUAAAGAGAGGCAACUCCUGUUGCCCUAAAAGCCACUGAUUCUACUGCAGAUUUAUCUUUCUUGUUUCUACCUUUAUAAGUGUAACACAAGAUUUAUGAUAAGUCAGAUUUAAACAUGAUUUAUUUUAUGGAAUCUGACUGUGAUGUGGUGAUAAAAUCUGCUGCAGAAAAUAGUGCUUGUGAUGAAAUCAUCAGGACGUAAUUUCAUGUAUUUACAAAAAUGUACAGAACUUCUUAACAUUUAAUGAAUGGUUACUGACUCAGGAAAAAAUGCUUUGAUUUUGCUGAAUUUAUUUUAGAUGGUUGAUAUAUUUUAAGUUCUUUUAUUAGACUUUGAUUUGCAAUAAUCAUUCCAGACCUCUCUUUUCUUCUUGUUAGAUGCUACAGCGUACAUAGAUAAUUUGCUUUGUUAAAAUAUAGUGUUAAAUAUUGUAUAUAAUAUUUGUAAAGCAGUUAAAGAAUUAGUUUUCACAUGUUGCUAUGAAUUUAAAGCAAGAAAUUAUCCUGUUUAGUUGAUUUCAUGAUUGAAUACAUAUCACAUAUUAAACUAUUACAGUAAAACUUGCUUAUAAGUCCUGGGGACUUAGUUCAUUUCAACCAAAAUUCUUUAUAUUAAGAAAAUGCUGUGAAAUGAGGGAUGGAGAAAAAGAUAUAACUUCCUAAUAACUGAGAUUUCCUAAUAUCAGAGUUCCUUAUAAGUGAGUUUUACUGUAUUUAUUGCUGAAUUGUAUGACAUUAAGAAUGUACAUUUCUAAUUUUAUAUCUGGAACUUUUCUUGUUACAAUGGUUGGAAUGUAAUAUCAUAAAUCUAUUUUAUUGUUUUAUUCCAGAAUUGUCUAAAACAAGUGCGUAUGAUAAGAUAGAUAAAAACAUAUCUUAGAUAUGAUGUCUGUCUUUGAUGAUCCACACUUGGUGAAUGAAACAAUAAAAUAAUUUGGAUGUUCUUUUCA
Long non-coding RNA from Saccostrea echinata, 1264 nucleotides. RefSeq lists it as uncharacterized. The transcript is spliced from 3 exons. NCBI's taxonomy places the organism in Eukaryota, Metazoa, Mollusca, Bivalvia, Ostreida, Ostreidae. The record is from RefSeq and is a predicted model, not a curated record.